This 2908-nucleotide ribosomal RNA is filed under the name Escherichia coli. RNAcentral describes it as "23S ribosomal RNA". It matches the Rfam family "Bacterial large subunit ribosomal RNA". Lineage: Bacteria; Pseudomonadati; Pseudomonadota; Gammaproteobacteria; Enterobacterales; Enterobacteriaceae. The record is from RNAcentral.
GGUUAAGCGACUAAGCGUACACGGUGGAUGCCCUGGCAGUCAGAGGCGAUGAAGGACGUGCUAAUCUGCGAUAAGCGUCGGUAAGGUGAUAUGAACCGUUAUAACCGGCGAUUUCCGAAUGGGGAAACCCAGUGUGAUUCGUCACACUAUCAUUAACUGAAUCCAUAGGUUAAUGAGGCGAACCGGGGGAACUGAAACAUCUAAGUACCCCGAGGAAAAGAAAUCAACCGAGAUUCCCCCAGUAGCGGCGAGCGAACGGGGAGCAGCCCAGAGCCUGAAUCAGUGUGUGUGUUAGUGGAAGCGUCUGGAAAGGCGCGCGAUACAGGGUGACAGCCCCGUACACAAAAAUGCACAUGCUGUGAGCUCGAUGAGUAGGGCGGGACACGUGGUAUCCUGUCUGAAUAUGGGGGGACCAUCCUCCAAGGCUAAAUACUCCUGACUGACCGAUAGUGAACCAGUACCGUGAGGGAAAGGCGAAAAGAACCCCGGCGAGGGGAGUGAAAAAGAACCUGAAACCGUGUACGUACAAGCAGUGGGAGCACAGAGCAAUCUGUGUGACUGCGUACCUUUUGUAUAAUGGGUCAGCGACUUAUAUUCUGUAGCAAGGUUAACCGAAUAGGGGAGCCGAAGGGAAACCGAGUCUUAACUGGGCGUUAAGUUGCAGGGUAUAGACCCGAAACCCGGUGAUCUAGCCAUGGGCAGGUUGAAGGUUGGGUAACACUAACUGGAGGACCGAACCGACUAAUGUUGAAAAAUUAGCGGAUGACUUGUGGCUGGGGGUGAAAGGCCAAUCAAACCGGGAGAUAGCUGGUUCUCCCCGAAAGCUAUUUAGGUAGCGCCUCGUGAAUUCAUCUCCGGGGGUAGAGCACUGUUUCGGCAAGGGGGUCAUCCCGACUUACCAACCCGAUGCAAACUGCGAAUACCGGAGAAUGUUAUCACGGGAGACACACGGCGGGUGCUAACGUCCGUCGUGAAGAGGGAAACAACCCAGACCGCCAGCUAAGGUCCCAAAGUCAUGGUUAAGUGGGAAACGAUGUGGGAAGGCCCAGACAGCCAGGAUGUUGGCUUAGAAGCAGCCAUCAUUUAAAGAAAGCGUAAUAGCUCACUGGUCGAGUCGGCCUGCGCGGAAGAUGUAACGGGGCUAAACCAUGCACCGAAGCUGCGGCAGCGACGCUGAUGCGUUGUUGGGUAGGGGAGCGUUCUGUAAGCCUGUGAAGGUGUGCUGUGAGGCAUGCUGGAGGUAUCAGAAGUGCGAAUGCUGACAUAAGUAACGAUAAAGCGGGUGAAAAGCCCGCUCGCCGGAAGACCAAGGGUUCCUGUCCAACGUUAAUCGGGGCAGGGUGAGUCGACCCCUAAGGCGAGGCCGAAAGGCGUAGUCGAUGGGAAACAGGUUAAUAUUCCUGUACUUGGUGUUACUGCGAAGGGGGGACGGAGAAGGCUAUGUUGGCCGGGCGACGGUUGUCCCGGUUUAAGCGUGUAGGCUGGUUUUCCAGGCAAAUCCGGAAAAUCAAGGCUGAGGCGUGAUGACGAGGCACUACGGUGCUGAAGCAACAAAUGCCCUGCUUCCAGGAAAAGCCUCUAAGCAUCAGGUAACAUCAAAUCGUACCCCAAACCGACACAGGUGGUCAGGUAGAGAAUACCAAGGCGCUUGAGAGAACUCGGGUGAAGGAACUAGGCAAAAUGGUGCCGUAACUUCGGGAGAAGGCACGCUGAUAUGUAGGUGAAGUCCCUCGCGGAUGGAGCUGAAAUCAGUCGAAGAUACCAGCUGGCUGCAACUGUUUAUUAAAAACACAGCACUGUGCAAACACGAAAGUGGACGUAUACGGUGUGACGCCUGCCCGGUGCCGGAAGGUUAAUUGAUGGGGUUAGCGGUAACGCGAAGCUCUUGAUCGAAGCCCCGGUAAACGGCGGCCGUAACUAUAACGGUCCUAAGGUAGCGAAAUUCCUUGUCGGGUAAGUUCCGACCUGCACGAAUGGCGUAAUGAUGGCCAGGCUGUCUCCACCCGAGACUCAGUGAAAUUGAACUCGCUGUGAAGAUGCAGUGUACCCGCGGCAAGACGGAAAGACCCCGUGAACCUUUACUAUAGCUUGACACUGAACAUUGAGCCUUGAUGUGUAGGAUAGGUGGGAGGCUUUGAAGUGUGGACGCCAGUCUGCAUGGAGCCGGCCUUGAAAUACCACCCUUUAAUGUUUGAUGUUCUAACGUUGGCCCCUGAUCGGGGUUGCGGACAGUGUCUGGUGGGUAGUUUGACUGGGGCGGUCUCCUCCUAAAGAGUAACGGAGGAGCACGAAGGUUGGCUAAUCCUGGUCGGACAUCAGGAGGUUAGUGCAAUGGCAUAAGCCAGCUUGACUGCGAGCGUGACGGCGCGAGCAGGUGCGAAAGCAGGUCAUAGUGAUCCGGUGGUUCUGAAUGGAAGGGCCAUCGCUCAACGGAUAAAAGGUACUCCGGGGAUAACAGGCUGAUACCGCCCAAGAGUUCAUAUCGACGGCGGUGUUUGGCACCUCGAUGUCGGCUCAUCACAUCCUGGGGCUGAAGUAGGUCCCAAGGGUAUGGCUGUUCGCCAUUUAAAGUGGUACGCGAGCUGGGUUUAGAACGUCGUGAGACAGUUCGGUCCCUAUCUGCCGUGGGCGCUGGAGAACUGAGGGGGGCUGCUCCUAGUACGAGAGGACCGGAGUGGACGCAUCACUGGUGUUCGGGUUGUCAUGCCAAUGGCACUGCCCGGUAGCUAAAUGCGGAAGAGAUAAGUGCUGAAAGCAUCUAAGCACGAAACUUGCCCCGAGAUGAGUUCUCCCUGACUCCUUGAGAGUCCUGAAGGAACGUUGAAGACGACGACGUUGAUAGGCCGGGUGUGUAAGCGCAGCGAUGCGUUGAGCUAACCGGUACUAAUGAACCGUGAGGCUUAACCUU